GAUAAGAUCCUUCAGAUAACAAUUCUUGGUGUUGAAGUUCACAAGUGUUAGGAGUUUUCUCAAAGUACCCAACUUCAACUUAGUUCUGCUUUUACAUCUGCGAGGGAGAUAUAAAUGUCUUAGUUGCUCCAUCCUCCAUAUCACAUUAGGUACAUGAAUUCUUAGAUUUCUAACUCUUAAAUCCAAGGUUUGCAAGCACCUUAAGUUGCCUAGAGAUGAUGGCAACUUUGACCAUUCGAAGUGAAAAUUCCUUAGACUCAAGAAUCUUAAAUGGAUGAGAUACCUAUAUCACUAGGUAGCUUCCACCCUGCAAAAUUAUAAUAUCCUGUCUCAUAGUUUAGGACUCUUAGCAAUUUGAAGUUGUUGAACAUGUAUCUCCAAAUUCCCCGAAUUUUAAGAAGUUUUGUAGAAUCUUUCGAAAUCUCAAGAAUACAAAAUAGUGGAUUACAACAAUCUUCUUCAUGUUUUUCAACGUAAUUCAACACUUCCAAGGGCAUAGAUUUUUCAAAUGCCUCCUUCGGAAAGAACCCAUUGAAGAACAAAAGUGACCGAAUAUUUGGACUUUUAAUGCAUUGUAUGAAAAAAAACUCAUGCACAGAAACCCUACUAACCUUCCGAAUCAUAGAUAAUGAAGAUGCAUUUGAUUUAUCAACAAUGAAGACAAAAUUUUCUUGUUUUGCCUUUGAUAAGCAAAGAUCUCUCAUCAGAUCAUGCAUCUGAAUCGUUUUGACCUUUAAGGUUGCCACAUCUCUUUCUCGUACUUGAAUCAUGCACCUUUCUACAAGCUCCAUCAAAUAAGAUUCCGCUACAUCUUCCGCAAUUUCCCCACCGUCACUUUCUUCUUGCUUUGUUGACACAAUACCUUCAUCAACCGAUAAUUGAAUCAAUCUAUCCACAUCUAUCAUAUAAUCCUCCGGAAAAUGGCUUAGAUAGAGGAAACAUGGUCUUAGAUAGGGAGGCAAAUCAUCAUAACUUAUUGCUAACAUAUCCUCUGGUCCUUAAUUUUUGCCUCUCAUCAAGUAUAAUUUCACAUUGUCAGAUAUCUUUUGCCAUUCAUUUAAUGAAUUAUUCUUUGUAGCCAAAAUUCCUCCCAGUACAACAAUGGCUAAUGGAAGUCCUGCACAAUGUUUAACCAUGUUCUCUCCUAACUCUUUCAUUUCCACAUCGAUUAUAUUUCCUAUAUAAAAAAUUGGGAAUAAAUUUUUAAAGAAAAUAAUGAAUUAAUUUAAGUAGGUAAAAGAAAUGUAAAAGUAGAUGAAUCCAAACUUAUAUUUUAUUAAUUUAUCAAAUAAUUUUUAAUAUAAAUUCAUCACUUAUAAAAUUUAGUUUUUAUUAGGGUUAUUAACUACACUUAAAAAAAAUAAAUCUAUUUGAAAGCUUUGAAUUAUGGAAAAGUCAAUACUAAUUAAGAAACUUCACUGUAAUUAAUUUAAGAGGAGAUUCAAAUAAAUAAAUAUAUAAUUCAUUAUCCAAUUUGAAAUCUAAAAAACUAAAAAUGAUACAAAAAAAACAACAAAAAAAUUUCCAUAUCUUUUUAAGGGUUGUUUAGAAUAUAGUUCAUGCCUUAUGGUUUUAAGACUAAAUUUAAUACUCCAACAAAAAAAAAUUAAUAGAGGAAAAUACUUUUAAUGUGUAAAGAAUUAUAUAAAAAAGACUACUUAAUUUUAAAUUGGAUAUCCUAUUAGAUACAAAUGAGAUUAUAAAUAAGAGUCAAAAAAUUGUGUUGAGAGAAUUUGGAGAUAAAAUUAUAAGAUUUUACUUAUAUUGUACAAGUUAAGCAUACAAAACAAUUAAAUUAAUCUCAUUUUUUUUGGAUGAUUUCAGCGGGAUUUUCUAUUAUAAUUAUUGGGAAAUUAUUAAAGAGGAUGUUUUGGAAUCUAUUAAGAGUUUUUUGUUUUAGGGAUGGAAAAUUUUCGAUGAGUUUAAAUGAGAGUGAGAUAAUUUUAAUUCUUAACACUAAAUGUUUUGAAUUAAUUACAUAAUUUAGACCAAUUAGUCUUUGUAAUUUUGCCUAUAAAAUCAUAUUGAAAAUCAUGGUGAAUAUAUUGAAAGGAGUUCUAGGGGUAGUGAUUAUGAAUAAUCAAAGUGCUUUUGUCGUAGGUAGACAAAUAUAUGAUAACAUCUUAAUUGCCCAAGAGGUUUCCAUCAUUUGAAAUUGAAGAAGAGGGGUAAGAAAAAUGAGGUUGCUUGGAAGCUCGACAUGAAUAAUGUGUAUGACAAAGUAGAGUGGAGAUUUCUGGAAUCUAUUUUAAGAGAAAUGGGAUUUGCUUUAACAUGGAUUGAUUGGUUAAUCGUGUGUGUGAGGAGUGUUUCUUACACUUUGCUUAUUAAUGGUGAAUCUAGUAGAAAAAUCUAUCAAUCUAGAGGUCUAAGGCAAGGUCACACUCUAUCACCUUAAUUACCUCUUCCUUUUUGUUGUGAAUGUCAUCUCUAGUAUGAUUAUUAAGAGAGUCUGAGUCUAGUUUUAUUUCUGGGAUUAGCCUUGGUAGUCAUUAUCCAGUAGUGUCACAUCUGUUAUUCGCGAACGAUCUCUAUUCUUUUUGGAAGCUAGUUCGUUAAAUUGUAAGAGAAUGAUUAACUUGAUUCAAGAAUAUUGUGCAGCUUCUGGACGAAGGGUCCAGUAUGAUAAAUCAAGCAACGUUUUUAGUGUGAAUACUCCCGAAGGUUACUCAACGAAAGGUUGAUUCAAGAAGAGACUAACAUAGAGGUGGCCAAUAAUUCGGUCGUCUACUUGGGUGUCCCUUCUUUGUGGGGGCUUUCGAAAACAUUAACUUUGAGGCAUAUCAAAGAUAUGGUCCUUACUUUCAUCAAAAGAAAAUAAUAAUAAUAAUAAUAAUAAGGUCCUUACCAAACUUAAGGACUGGAAGCAGCAAACGUUAUCUUAAAAGGGAAGGGAGGUUCUUAUGAAAGCAGUAGCAUGCGCUUUAAUGUAUACGAUAUCUUUUCGAAUUUCCUAAAAAAUUAUGCGUCGAAAUGAAUUCAGCAGAAGGAAAAUGAGAGACGUAUUCAUUGAAAAGCUUGGAGGACUUGCUCUACUUGCAAAACAAUCUUGACAGUUAGUCCAGGAUCCUGAUGCUCUUUGGGCUAGGAUUUUAAAAGGUCUUUAUUUCCCGAAUUCUAAUUUCCUUGAAGCUAAAAAGGGAGCUAGGUCAUCAUGGUUGUGGAGUAGCAUUCUUGAAGGGAAAGAAUUUUUAAAAGGAGACUUUGAUUUGACAAGUGCUAAAUGGCGAAAGCAUCCGUAUUUGGGAAGAUAGAUGGUUGCUAGGAGUUAAAGAUAGGAAAUUAAAGCAUCCUGGAAAUAUUAACGGAUCCUCACCGACAAGAGUUGUUGAGAUCAUUUAUUUAGAAGAACUAAAUUGGGACUUACCCAGUAUCUCAAUGUGGUUAGAAGAUAUUGAAAUUGUGAAAUUAAAAGUUCCCCUUCAUGAAACAGAUGAACAAGAUAAAUUGGUGUGGCGGUUUACAGCUGUUGGUCAAUAUUCGAUGAAGUCAGGGUACAAGGAGUUGAGAAAGCACUAUGGAAAUGAGUCUUCUUUACAACCUUCCAGCUCUCACUUAAUUGAUUGGAGCACUUGGAAAGCUAUUUGGAGCUUACAGGUACCGAACAAAGUUAAAAUUUUCUUAUGGAAAUUGUGUCAUAAUGCUAUUCCAUCUCGUUUUAAUCUGUGGAAAAGAAAGUGUUUUUCGAACCCAAUAUGUUGUUUAUGUGGCAUUGAAGAUGAGAAUUUGAACAUAUUAUUCUUAGUUGUAAUUGGGUUAGGGGAAUAUAGCAUGAGGCUUGUUUUGGUCUUCAAGGGCUAAAUGAUCAAACUCAGUUCUCAAAGUUGUUACAAAUGCCUUGUACGAGGGAGGAUUUCAAAGUUGGAAUUGUUUUCACUUGCUGCUACAUUUGGAAAGCUAGGUGUGAGGUCACAAUUGGAGGUGUGAAACUUGGUUGGGAGAGAAUUAUUCGGAGGAUUAAUUGCUACAUGAAUGAUUUCUUAUCUGCUCAAUGGAUCCUCUGUUCAAACAAUAACUCUGAUCGAACUAGGAAGUCAAAAACUUGUGCUGAUGUUCGGGAGAAACCACCAGAAGGUUGGGUUAAAGUUAAUCGUGAUGGGGCAUUUGACACCUUAAUAGCUUGUGCUGGUAUUAGAGUAAUAGGCAGAAAUUUAAGUGGGAAGAUGCUGGAUGGGAUUGGUAAAAGGAUUAAGUGGAUUCAUGUGAGGUUGUCGAGGCUAAAGCUAUGGUUGGAUGGAUUGAAUUAGCUAUGAAGAACAAAUGGACCAAUUUCACAAUCAAGACUGACUCCCAGACUAUUGCUUCGGAUAUUAAGAAGAAGAGUCAAGAUCGAAGAUGGAGAUUAAGGCUAGUCCUUCAGGUUUUUGAUAAGCUGGUCAUGCAACUUUCUUCUUUGAAAGUCAAUGUUAUUAGAUGAGAAGCCAAUAGGUUAGCGGAUUGGUUUGCUAGAUAGGGUCGUAAAGAGAUGUGCUGGUUGUUCAAAUCAACUACCAUCUUUCUUGGGCUUUAUUCUUGAUAAGAAUGGUUUACCUGCGACUCCAUCUUUCUGAUGCAAGGAUCCAGGAAAAGCUUAGAGAAUACUGUGCUUUUUUCAUGUUAGUUUAUCUGGUUUAGUGUUUUAGACUUCCUAUGUUAGUUUAUUCUUUCUGGAAUGAAUGUUUUUGUGGCAAAAAAAAAAAAACCGAGAAUUGAUUAACUAUUAUUUUAAUUAAGUGAUGUUUGACUACUGAAUUUAAAUUAUAAAAUUUAUUUAAUAUAUUUCUUAAGAAAAAAACAUAUAAAAGAAUAGUAUGAAAGUGCUUAAGAAACUAAACAGAAUAUAUAGUACAAUAAUUAAGGUAAGAUAAUAACUUAUAUUAGGAUCAUCUUAAAAACUAAAAUGUUUAGGUAUCAAUAAAAUUGUCACAUCAUGGAUGACCAUUCUUACCACGUUAUUCAUGGUUUAUUUUCAAUUAUUUAAUAAUAUUUCAACGAUUUUUUCCAUGUCAUUGACACAUAAAUUUGAUAAUUUUUUUACCCUGAAUCCUGGAUCCAAAACAUAAAACCCCAAAUUCAUAACCCGGAAUCCUUGAACUUUAAAUUUCAAAUUCAAACCUUAAACUGCUAGAUUCGGGGUUCAAGGUUUAGAUUCAAGGUUCGGGGUUUUGAGUUCAAGAUAAAAUAAUUAUCAAAAUUAUGUGCCAAUAACAUGAAAAAUAUUGCACAAAAUUUUUUUUUUAAAAAAUUGGUUGCACAAAAAUAAAAAAUAUUAAUUUAUGAAAAAAACAAAAUGAUUAAAAUUUGUAAAAUAAGAAAAAAUGUUUGUUUAUAAUUUUACAAAUUAAUUAUUUUAAAUAAUUUAAUUAAAAUUAAAUUAAGUUGAAGAAAACAUUAGAUAUAAAUGAAGGUAUAAUAAUGCUAUCUUAAAAUAUUAACGAUGUGACACUAUUUUAUUGGUGUCUAAAAACUAUAUUUUUUAAAAUGAUCCUAAUAUAAUUUAUUCCCAAUAAGUAAUAAUGAAGUUAUUAAAAAAUCAUAAUAUAAAAGAUAAUGAAUUUACCUAUUAAUUAUAUUUACGUGCGUGUACCGAUAAACUACAAAGCCUUGAUUUCUUUUAUUUAUUUCAUAUUAAGGUUUUGAAAUUUUUAAAUAAAAUAGAUUUUAUAUAUUUUUUAAUUUUAAUUAUUGUCAAAAAAAUUCAAAAAUGAAAAAUAAAUUUAGCAUCUGACAAGAAUUUUGCUAUAUGUAUAUUUACCUGUUUGAGGAAAUACAAUCUUUUCAAACAAUUCCCAACUUUCUUGUUUGUUUAGACACCGCAACUCUGAAAUAAUAUACAUAAUUAUUUGCUAUAAAAGGAAUAAAAGUAUUAAAUUUUACCUAAUUAAGAAAAUUUUACCUCUUACUUCAGCAUAUGAAACUAUCCCCUUGUUUCGAGAGGUGAGCAAUAUCUUACUAUGGCUGUCCCUUGUAGCUGGAAAGGCAGGUUUUAGACUAUCCCAAGCUUCACUGGUCCAAAUAUCAUCAAGUAUCACCAGGCAUCUUUUAUCCUUCAAAAUGUUACACAACUUCUUUGCCAAUUUUUCAUCAUUUUCCUUCCUAUCCUCGUCAUUUAAAGUUUUGAAACCAGAUAGAAUGUCUUCCCAAACUUUUCUUUUCAAAAAUUGUUGAGAAACAUUUACAAAAGCCAAGUGAUCGAAAUAAUCAAUAACCUGACGAUGGUGAUAUAUUUUCUUGGCGAGAGUGGUCUUUCCCAGACCACCCAUGCCCCAUACUAUAACAACCUUGCAUCCACUUUCGUUCGUAAGAACUUUGACCAAUCCCUCGGUAUCAUCAACUAGUCCAACAAUAUUAUCAUCCAUAAUAUGUGGAUAAGGCCGCCUUGAUUCUCGUCUUUCAGUUGAAGAACUUGAUUCUUCUCCUCUGUCCUUUAAUUCCUUUACGCCGUAGGCCUGUAGUCGUCGGACUAAGUCGUUGAUUCUUUCUAUGAUUUUCUCGAUCUUUGACCUGGUUUCAUGGAGCACCCAUCCCUCUUUCAAACAGCAGGCUGAUCUUUUAAUACGACUCGGAAGGCCACCUUUGUUUUUGGAUCCAAUCUUGAGAGCAAAUUCCUCAACAAUAUCCUCAGCAUCAUAAGCAAGCUCUCUGAUUUCAGCAACCCAAAGACGAAUCCUCUCAUCCGUUGAUUGUUUUGUCUCUGCCACCAUUAAGGAGCUUUGCAUCCAUUUGAGCUCCGUUUGCAGACGAUCAACUUGCUCCUCCACGCCCCAUAGGUAUAUGGCUUCCUCAGUUAGCAGCUCGCCAAUUGUUGUCACUGCAGAUGUCACAGCAGAGAAAGCCAUAAUAGUGAGCGAGCUCAGAAAAUUCUUUAAAAUCUUGAAUUUGGAUUUCAAGAUGUGAGUGCCGCAAUCCUGCUAGGAAAACAAUUGCAAGAAGCAGUUCUUAAUUAUAAGAACAACUGCAAAUCAUUGCCCUUUUAUGCCUUUAGUAGUAAUAGUUAAAUUAAAUUUUAAAAAUAAUUUACAAAGCAACAUUAAUCAUCAAUAGAAUAAGAAUAAAAGCAAGAAAGGUAUAGUCAUAAUAGAAUGAGAAUACAAGCAAGAAAGGUAUGUUCGAAAUAGAAUGAGAAUACUCACAAGAAAGGUAUAUUCAUAAUCGAAUGAAAAUUAUUGCAUGUUGUUUUACCUAAUUUUUUUCAAAUUAAUAUCGUAGUUUACUUUCUUAUAUAUAAUUCUAAAUUUGUAUAUUAUUUAAAAACUAAAAAAAACUAUUAUUUUAAAAAGUAAUUAAGAAUUAAAUGCAUGUAACACAUAUGCAUUAGAAACUUGUACAUUUAAAUGUAAACAAAAAUCAAAAUUAUUUCUAAAAUUUAAAAUUGAUCAAAGAAUGGAGAAGGGAUGACUAAAUGUUAAACCAAAUAUUUUCAAAAUCAAACCAUUAUAUAAACCAAUAAUAAUAAAAUUUAUGAUUGAAUCGGUUCAAUAAAUUUAUAUUAUAUAACUCGAUAUUUUUAUUUUUAAUAUUUUAUAUGUAAAUAAACUGACCCUUAACAGAAUUAAUAUUUAUUUAUUAAAAAUAUAUUAAACGAUUAAAAAUAUUUUUUAAAUAAUAAAUGUUAAUUAAAUUAUUUAAUUCUCAAUAAUAUAAAGAUUAAACUGAUACGUUUAACAGGAGAAAAACUAAUUUAAAAAGGCCCCAAGAAUAGAUACUUUCACCUAUCAUCACUGGUCUUAUUUAACAGAAAAAUUAGGCAAAGACAGAGCAAUUUCGUUGUGAGAUGGAUUAAGAUAGGGUACAGUAUAAAAAUGGUCAUUAAAUUAUUAUUAAUUUUUUAAUUUAGUCAUUAAGUUUUUAGAAAUUAAAUAUUUUCAUCACUUCCUUAUUAGUUGCAAUUAGAUGAGUGACAAGAAAUUGAUAUGAGCUUUUUUUUAUUGGUUUAAUAACAAAUUUAGUCCCCUAAUGUCUAGACAUUCUAUCAAUUUGAUUCUAAAUAUAAAAUUUCUAAUAAAUUUAAUCCUCAAUAUUUACAAAAUUUCUCAUUUUAGUUCAAAUAUUCUUAAAAAUAAAAAUAAAUCUAAGCCUCAAAAUUUUUGAAAUUUAUCAAUUUAAUUUUAAUUCUAAAUUUAGCCUUCAAUUUGAUAUCAGAUGAUAUAAUUAAAAAUAAUAACUCAAUCAAUAUUACAUAAUUAUUAAAAUAUAAUUAAUUUAAUAUUAUUAUCAAAAUAUAAUUAAUUUUUAUAAAAUUGGAUCUUAUAACAAACAAAAAUCAAACAUUCUAACUUGAUUUAAUAGAUAAGGUUAGAAAUUUUUAUUUAUUUAUUUAUGAACGUAAUAAGCAAUUAAAAAUUGAUUAUGCAAUGUUCAUCUUCUUCUUCCAAGCCCCCUAGCCCCCCACUCACAAGUCACAUAAUCACUUUUUUCUAUGUGGAUUAAAACACUUCCGUGUCUCCCCUUUGCUUUUCCUUCAUUUAACAAAAGAAAGGAGCUGAAAUUCAGAAAAUUUGAGUAGAAAAAGGGAAAAUUCAAAGCUUAAAACCCAAACCCUUUGUGGAGUUAUCAUUGACAGUGGGUUCAAUUCGGUGCUAUGUCAAGAGUUGCAGUGCGGUAUUGCUGCCUCAUUCGGUGGACCUGAGGUGUUGCAGCUUUGAUCCGAUGUGUCUGUUCCUGAUCUUAAGCCCAAUGAAGUUAUUGUUCGAGCCUGAGCUGUUUCUAUCAAUCCCCUUGACACCACCAGAGUAAGUUCCUCCUUUAUUGAGUUGAACCUUUUUUUUUUUUUACUGCAAUCGUAAAUUUUGUUUCUAAUUUGUUUCUUGGAGUGGAUUGUUCAGUUCCUGAGAAAGUGCGAGAAAAUGAAACGAGAUCCUUUUUGAAAAAUCAUUAAUGUAUUAGUUAUAUGAGUCAGUUUUAUCUCCUUGAUGCAUUUGAAGAAUUUCUUUUUUAAUUAAUUUAUUUGCUCGAUUUGUUUGAUUUGAUGUAAUUUGCUUAAUUUAUACUGUAUGGUGGUGGAGUUAAAAAAUUCUUUUUUGAGCAAUCGAAAUUAAAUUUAUGUUUUUACGAUAGUAAAAAUAUAAUUUCAUCAUUUUAAUAGAUUAUAUUUUUAUAAUUUUUAAAAUAUUAAAUUAAAAUUUUAUCAUUUUUUAAAGAGUCAAAAUAUAAUUUUAUUAUUACUAAUUUAAAACUUUAUAAAUUAUAAAAGAACUUAAAUUAAAAAUAUGCAUUUUAGAGGGCAUGAUGGAACCUGCGUCUCUUAAUGGGUCCGCCACUGCAUCUAUGGGUUGGGUUUUUUCAUUGUCAUCAAAAUGUGAAGAGAAAAGAAAAGAAUAUAAAAUGUUAGAUGAAGCUAGAUUUUCUUUUAUGUAACAUAAAUAUAUCUUUCCUUCUUCUAAAAUUUUUAGAAUUAAAAUUAAAAUUACAAAUUUUGAUAACUAAAUUUAUUCAAAUUUUUAAAAUUCGAACUAAAAUGAUAAAUUUUGUAAACAUUUAGAAUUAAAUAUGUUGAACAUUUUAUAUUUAAAAUUAAAUUAAUAGAAUGUGUAAACAUUGGAUAGUUAAAUUUUUUAUUAGACCAAUAAAAAAAGCCACAUCAACUUCCUAUCACUCAACUAACAAUAACUAAUGGGAGAGUGAUCAAAAUAUUUAAUUUCGAAAAAUUUAAUAACUAAAUCGAAAAAAUUAAUAAUUUAGUGAUUAAAAUAGAAUGAAAGCAAUAAUUUGGUGACCAUUUUUACCCCUUAAAAAUAUAUAAUGGUAAGGGCACUUGAAAAAGAACAAAAAUGAUAAGGUGAUGGAGCAUAUUUGGAAUAUUUUUUUUAAAGCGAGGAGUACAAAUAAAAUUACAAGUUGGCAGUUCUGUAAGGCUUCAGAAUUGGUAGUUACAAAGUUUAUUACAGGCUUGUUACUCGAGUAGUUGUAUCAAACUUUCAAUACGCACUGUUUUCAUUAAACAUCAAAACGUAUCGUUUCGUUAAACUCUCAUCCUCAAAAUGUGGCGGUCAACUAACUAAUUUUAAAUAACAAUAUUUUUCCAUAACAUUAUACUGCUCAUAAUUAACUCAUGAUUUGACCACCACCGACUUUUGGCCUUCCCAUCAAGUUCAUGCUUGACCACUUACUCCUUGAGGAUCAUGAGGUCUCUCUCUUAAUAUAUAUAUAUAGUUGGGUUUUUUAAACUAAAAUUGAAUAAAAAAAAUUAAAAAAGAAGUAAAGAAACAAGUAAAUUAUUUUAAAUAAACGAAAAAAGUUAUGCCCUUGUUUAUGGUUUCAGUUGACUUUUGUAGCAACAAAAGUGAAUAUAAAUAUAUAUAGAGAGAGAGUAUGGUUUCUUGAACUUGAAUUGAAUGAAGAAUUUAAAAAGAAGCAACAGUAGAAAAUGAGAAAAUGUAUGUAUUUAUUUAUGGUUUUGGCUUGCUUGUGUAACAAGAAAAGUGAAUAUAAAUACAUAUAUGUAGUAUGGUUUCUUGAACUUGAAUUAAAUGAAGAUCUAAAAAAUAACAAAGAAAUAAGAAAACCAUUUAAAAAAGGAGAAAAUUUUAUGCCUUUGUUUAUGGUUUCAGCUUGCUUGUGUAGCAAAAAAAAAACGAAUAUAAACAUAUAUAUUUAGUAUGGUUUCUUUAACUUGAAUUUAAUGAAGAAUUUUAAAAACAACAAAGAAUCAAGAAAACCAUUUAAAAAGGGAGAAAAAGGUAUGCCUUUGUUUAUGGUUUUGGCUUGCUAGUGUUGCAAGAAAAGUGAAUAUAUAUAUAUAUAUUAGUAUGGUUUCUUGAAUUUGAAUUAAAUUAAGAAUUUAAAAAGUGGGAAAGAAACAAGAAAACCAUUUAAAAAAGGCAAAAAAAGUAUUCCUUUAUUUAUGGUUUCGGAUUGCUUGUGUAACAAGAAAAGUGAAUAUAAACAAGGUAUGUGAUUCCUUCAUUGUUUCUUGUAGAUCGCACGGACCUUUAUGCACUUUUUAACACCAGCCGUUACCAAUAUUUAGAGGUUCAAGAUUUCAACUCUUUCUUUUAGUUAGAACCCUCUUUCUUUACUUAAAUAACACACCAUUAUUCCACUUCAUGUGUAUCUGUGUGUAUAUAACUUGGACUAGAACUUUCCAUCCAAAAUAGUCAUGCUAACAAAUAUCGCUGUGUUUGUGUGGUAUUUUACAACAUUCAAAUCUUAGCUAUUGAGAUUUUCUCACACCUUGAACUUCAAAUAGUUAGCUAGUUCUCUCUUACCAUAAUUUAAAUCAUAGACAUUUUAACGUCGAGUUUUAUAAUGAGAACAACAUGAUCAUAUUGAAUUUUAUAAAUCUUUUAACACCAUAUUUUAAGAUUUUCUCUCAUUUCGGCCUUACAUUUCAGGACUUGGACACCUUGACUUGCACACAUACUAUGUUCAAUCUUUUCAUCAAAUUUAAAUAACAUAAAAUUAGAAAAUGAAAUAAAUCAAAUAACAUAAUUAUUUCUUGAAUCAAUGUUUUCUUUUUAAAAUUUGAAACAAAUUGAAACCCAAAAAUAGAAGUUGUAAACUAAAAUUUCGAGACAAUUGAAAUAAGAUAAUUUGAUUUCGUUCUCGAAGUUUUGCAAAUGAGGGAUUCCAAUUUUAGAAUUAUUGAUAAAUAUCAUUUGUAUUAGUUAAGUGUAUUUGAAAUAUUCAAUCAACUAAGCUAACUGAAUUUAGAAUCUUCAAUUCCCUUGGACUCCUUUUCUUUUUCAGCUUAUUAUCAUCAAGAUAUUGUUGGUAGAUAUAAAAGCAAGUCCCUAAAGAAUGGAAUGCAACCAUUUAUUUCUUACUGAACUUUUGUUAGAUAAUGUAAUUUGGAAUUUCUAGAUUAUGUUCACUUGUUUAUUUUUUCUUUGAUUUAGUUUAUUGUAUUUAAUCUUCGAGAUAAAGAUAUUGUGGAUUAUAUGUGUUAAAUGAAAUUUGAUUUUCUGUUUUUUCUUUGGAAGUGUCAAGAUGAAAUGCGACUAUUGAACACAAUAUCAUAACAAAGAUUACUGAAUUAAGGAUUAAGAUAUUGAACGACCAAAAAAAUUUACGUUGAAUAUCAAUCGACUUACCCAAAAUGAGGAAAUAUGUUGAAAUGGGAAGUGUUUUAAGCAUAUGGAGCUGAAAUAAAUUCAUUGAAUGGAGCAUCCCAACAAUGUAUAUGAUACUUCAUCAACUACUAAUUCACCAUUAUUGAACCAUAUUGCACGAAUUUAAGGCCAGCAUUACAUUCAUUUUUUUAAAAAAAAAAAUAUCUAUAUAUGAAGAUAUAUAAUAUAGGUCAUCAACCUUUAAUUAAUGGAAAAGAAAGAUUAACAAAAAUGAUAAGGUGAGGAAGCGUAUUUGGAAUUCUUUUUUAAAGUGAGGAUUACAAAUAAAUUUUAUAACAAAAUUAUAAAUCUCUUCACGCUCAUUUUAAUAAACAGCCUACAUUAUUAUAGUUAAAUUUAAGGAUAAGUUUUGUAUUUUAAUUUAAUCAAUUUUAAUCUUUAUACUUUUCGAAUUUUGAAAUUUCAGUCUCGAUAUAAAUGGAAGUUGUUAAUCCAUUAAGUGGAAUUUUGGUGACUAAUAUGUGAAAAUAACAAGCUGACAUGACAUUACACAUAUAAUAAUAUAUUUGACAUGUUAUAUUUUGGAAAUAACAAAACAAAAACAAUUAUCGUUUGGUAACAAUUAAAAUUUUCAAAUUUGAAAAGUACAUGUAUUAAAAAUGACCAAAUUAAAGUAUAGAGGUCAAGUCCACAACUUUUGUAAAGUACAAUGACUAAUGGCAUAGUUUAACUUAUUAUUUUUUAUAUUACGAGGAAUGGUUUAUAAAAAAAUGAUUUUACAAAACAAAUCCCAAAGUUGUGGAUUUGAUCAAAUCUAGUGAAAAAAUUUUCGAGUUAAUGAGUCUUAUUUUAUCAUCUUUAACUUGAUUUGAAAUUUUCCUGAAUCAAGUUGAGUGAAAUGGAAUUUAAAUUGAGUUAAAUAAAUUUAUUCAAGUUAAAUUAAGAAAAUUAAACAUGUCAAAUUGAAAUAUUGUUAACAAUAUGACUCAAUUUCAAAUUAGCACAUAGAACCCCAACUCUUGGCCUACUGACAUUGGAUGAUCACCUCAACAACUUAGGUCGUGCGUUCAAAUCAUAAGGACAAAUGAUUUGUCGUAAUUUGAUAUGUCAAAUUACGCUUCCUUGUUAUACUUAAGGAGCUUGUUUUCAAGAAAAUUAGUGUAUUUUCUGUAGUUUAGAGUAAUUUUUAGAUUAUUUGAUUUAAUAAGUAUUUAAUGUGUUUUGUACUCAUUUUGAUACCCAAAUUGGUUAAAUGUGUCGUUUGGACCCUAACGAUUGAUUAAGUGCGGUAAGAACUCGACGAUGACCCAAAAUUGUGCAAAAACAUCAUAAAGGAAAGGGGUAUCAUGACACCACAACAUGGGCAUCUCGAUACCUCCCACAGGCCUAAAAUGAAGAUCACCUACAGUUGUAUCAUGAUAUCCUCCUUGGGUAUCACGACACCCAACUGCUAAGGAAGACCCCAUUUGAGAUUGUCGAUGAUAUUGCAAUAUCUUGGGUUGGAUAUUGUGAUAUCAUCGACAAUCUCAAAUUGGGUUUUCCUUAGCAGUUGGGUGUCGAUGAUAUCACAAUAUCCAACCCAAGUUAUUACGAUAUCAAUGUUGUAAGGGGACAAAAAAUGACAUCAGGGGUAAUCUUUGUCCCAUCGAAACAUCAACAAAAAAGACACUCAAAGGCAUUUUGGUCAAGAAAAAUGGGUCAAAAUAGAUACUAAAAGAAGCCAAAAAUUGGCUGAAGAGAGAAGAGGAGAAAAAUAAGAGGAAAAGAUAAAUCUGAUGUGGAAAAAAUGAAAGAAUAUGAUCAAGUUACAUGGUUUUUUUAUUUGAAUAUUAUAAAAAAAGUUAAAUAUUAAUAUAAUCGGUGUCUUUUAAAAUUAUUUUUCAUAAUAGGGUGUUUUAGGGUAUUUCGUUCUUCAUAGGUGACCACUAAUACUUGGAAUGCAAGGAAGCCUGUUGUUGUACCUCAGAACAUAUCUUGCUGAGCUUAGGAUCAGUUUGCCAAGAGUCUUGAACUUGUUUCAAAAAGUCAGACAUCAUGGAACAACCAGGAAGCUAAAGUAGCUGGCCUGACUGACUUAUUGAUUUCCUUGAAAGAGAAUCAACGAUUACAUUGUGAACUUCAUAGUCAUAGCCUAACUUUUUGGCCACCCACUUCUGUUGAAAAGGAGUGAUGACUUGUUUAUUUGACAAGAUUCUCAGGCUUUAGUGAUCAGUGCGGAUUUUGAAGUGCCUACCAAGUAGGUAGGGGCUCCAUUUCUUAACUACAAGAAGCACAACCAACAUUUCCUUGUCAUAUAUAGAUAGUGCUUAGAGUUUAACCCCAAGAGCCUUACUGAAAAAGGCAAUAGGCCUACCACCUUGAUGCGAAACAACACUUAUCCGAUAACCACAAGCAUCAAUAUCAAUAUAAAAUUCUAAAUUCAGGGAGAGAAAGAACAGGAGCAUUGCAUAUUGCCUGUUUCAGAUGUUUGAAGGCCUCACCAACUUGAUCAUUUCGUCCCCACUCAUUCUUCUUAAGUAAGUCAACCAAGGGUUUUGCCAAGGUGCCAUAAUUCUUGACAAAUCUUCGAUGGUACUCUGAAAGCCUCAAAAGGCCUCUCAAUUUUUUUUACUAACUUGGGAACAGGCCAUUAAGCCACACACUCUACCUUAGAACAAUCUAUAGCCAUUGCCCCUUUAGAAAUGGCAUGGCCUAGGUACUUAAUCCCUGAAGUGCCAAAGCUACACUUACUUUUCUUGGCAAUCCUCUACAACUUCAAAACCUCUCGAAGAAGUGAUAAAUGGUCAGACCAAGAUAUCACUAAAGCAAACAACGACUGACUUCCCCUAUAGUGGUUUAAACACAACAUUCAUCAAUGCUUGAAAACUUGAAGGAGCAUUCGUAAGACCAAAGGGCAUAAUUAAGAAUUCAUAAUGGACUUCAUGUGAAGGUUUUUUUUAUAAAUACCGGAUCUCCAUAUUCGAAUUUGGUGAUAGUUAGAUCUUAAGUCUAAAACAGCCUGACCAAGUUUAUCCAACAACUCAUCUAUAACAGGAAUGAGAAAUUUGUUUUUAAUGGUGAGUUGGUUAAGUUGUUUAUAAUCAACACAACCCAUCCUUUUUCUUAACCAUAUAGGUGAAGCAAACGAGCUAUUACUGUCUCUGAUGAUCCCUGCUUGCAACUUCUCUUAGAUCAACUUUUCCAUUUCAUUUUUUUUGAACAGCUGUUGAAGUCAACCCCCAUGCAGCAGCCAAGGUGACCAUGCAAGGUGGCCAUGCAGGGAUCGUGCUUUAAUAGCAAACCGAAACUGCAUUGUUUCAUUUGGUUACUCAAAUGAACAUUUUGUGUUCUAGUUCAUGUUAAACUAAGUAGGUAAAUGUUUUGAUAUUGAUUGACUGAAAAGUCAGCAAUGCAAGUUGUACAAGCUAAUCUUGUAAGUUUCAAUGCAAAUUAGUGGAGUUAGGUAGUUGAUUAGGUGAUUACUUGUUUGUUUUACUUGUUGACUGAUAUAUGUAAUGGCUUAAUGCCUUGUUGAUGUGUUAAUGAAAGAAAUCAGCUCAUUUUUCAUUCAAUCUUCUUCUCUCUUUUCUGUUUUUCACUAGCUAGUUGCAUUAUUCUGUUUCUGCUUCCGAGUUUGCUUCUUCACCAAGGCUCGAGGCUUGCUAUUCAAGCAAGACACAAAACAGCUUGUUGCUGCCUCUUGCACCAACAAUUGGUAUCAAGAGCUCUUGUCUUAGUGGACCUGUUGCUUCAAAUCAAGGAACUUGAUGGCUUCUUCAGGAUUUUCACCAGCAGCCCCACCAGUCUUCAAUGGAGAAGGCUUUCACAUAUGGCUGGUCAAGAUGAAGACUUACCUACAGGCCUUCGAUCUGUGGGAAGUUGUUAACACAGAUACUGAGCCAGCACCACUGAGGGCUAAUCCCACAGUAGCUCAGAUCAGACAACAUGCUGAUGAGAGGACCAAAAGGCACAAAGCCAUGUCCUGUAUUCAGAACUGUGUAUCAGAUGUCAUCUUUACCAGAAUUAUGGCCUGUGAGACUCCAAAACAGGCCUGGGACAAGCUUAAGGAGGAGUUUCAAGGUACUGAGAGAACAAGGUAACAGCAGCUGUUGAACUUGAGAAGGGAUUUCGAGAAUUUGAAGAUGAAGGAAGAAGAAACAGUGAAGCAGUAUUCAGAUAGAAUUAUGGCAGUGGUUAACAGCAUAAGGCUCCUAGGUGAGCACUUUGAUGAGGCAAGAAUUGUGGAGAAAGUCCUCUCCACUUUGCCUGAGAGAUAUGAGGCCAAGAUAUCCUCCCUAGAGGACUCAAGAGACCUUGCUAGCAUCUCUUUGACUGAGUUAAUCAACACCUUCUAUGCUCAGGAACAAAGGAGAGCUAGCAGAGUUGAAGAUCACCAAGAAGGUGCAUUUCAAGCCAAGACUAGAGAAGCCUCGAGCACCAAUGCUCAAAGAGGCAAAAAGCCUUGGAAAAACAGGCCUAAGCCUGAUGCUGCAAGGAGCAAUGACCAGCCCUGCAGAUAUUGCAAGAAGCCUGGCCAUCCAGAAGACAGAUGCUGGUUUAGGCCAGAUGCAGUAUGCCAACACUGCAAGAAGAAGGGCCAUGUUGAAAGGGUCUGCAAAAACAGGAGUAAGCCAAGGCAGAAUCAAUUUCAGCAGUCAAAGGUUGAAGCUCGAGUAGCUGAGGACAGUAGUGACCAAGAAGAACAGGUCUUUGCUGUUUCCUGUUUAGCUGCUGAGAAGAAAUGCUCAAAAGGCUGGUUGCUGGACAGUGGUUGCACUAACCACAUGUCACCAGAUGCCUCUUUGUUUAAAACCUUGGACAGAAGUUAUAAAACCAAGGUCAAGGUUGGAAAUGGUCAGUUUAUAAGGGCUGAAGGAAGAGGAGAAGUGCUGAUAUGUACUCCCACAGGCAACAAGAUCAUUCCAAAUGUGCUGUUGGUGCCAGAGAUUGACAGAAAUCUUCUCAGCAUAGCUCAACUGCUCGAGAAAGGUUAUUCUGUUGUGUUCAAGGACAAACAAUGCCACAUUGCUGAUCCAAGUGGAUCAAGCCUUAUGACAGUCACAAUGACUGAUAAAUGCUUUGAGGUUCACUGGGCAAAUAACUCAAACUCAGCAUACACAACUUCUGUUGAUGACUUCAAGCUUUGGCAUCAAAGGCUUGGACAUGCCAACUUUAGAUCAAUGGCUCGAUUGGCCAAAGAGGGCAUGGUAGAAAACUUCACCAGCUCAGUGGAGCAUGAUGAUGUGUGUGAAGUUUGCCAAAUGGGGAAACAGGCAAGACUGCCAUUUCCUACAAAUUCAGCUUGGAGAGCUACUAAAAGACUGCAGCUGGUGCACUCUGAUGUAUGUGGCCCGAUGAGGACUGAAUCACUCAGCAAAAACAGGUAUUUCAUCCUCUUUAUUGAUGACCUUACAAGGUUUUGCUGGAUUUUCUUUUUAAAACACAAGUCUAAGGUAGCUCAAGUGUUUGUGAAGUUUAAAAAUGCUGUGGAAACAGAAACAGGUUGCAAGCUGAAAUCGAUAAGGACUGACAAUGGCACUGAGUAUACUUCAGCUCAGUUUCAAGCCAUUUGCAAUGAUGCUGGUAUCAAACAUCAGCUUACAAAUGUGUACACACCUCAGCAGAAUGGGGUAGCUGAAAGAAAGAAUAGAAGUCUGAUGGAUAUGGCCAGAUGUCUUCUGUUUGAAAAGAAACUGCCCAAGACCAUGUGGGCUGAGGCAGUAAACACUGCUGUUUACCUUCAGAACAGGCUUCCUACUAAAGCUCUUGCAUCCGAGACACCUUUCGAGGCUUGGUUCAGCUUCAAGCCUUCUUUGGCACAUCUGAAGGUGUUUGGUUGCCUGUGUUAUGCACAGAUACCAGCAGCAAAGAGAGACAAGCUCUCCAAAAGGGCUCAACCAGGUGUUCUAGUAGGCUACAGCUCAGUCAAAAAGGGCUACAGGAUUUUGGAUCCCUUGACAAACAAAGUCCAAGUGAGCAGAGAUGUCAUCUUUGAUGAAAAAGCCUGCUGGAAUUGGGAGAAAAAUGAGCCAGAAACAUUUUUAGAAGACCUAGUGCCUAAUCAAGCUGAACUUGAGCAGCUAGGACCUGAAAUGGAUGUUGAUGAUGUGCCUGUGAGAGGCACAAGGCUCCUAGAAGAUAUUAAUGAAAGGGCACAGGUUGCAAUAGCAGAACCUAGCAGUUUUGAAGAGGCUGAGGCAGAUGAAGGUUGGAAACAAGCUAUGGUUGAUGAAAUCAACAUGAUUGUAAAGAAUCAGACAUGGGAGUUGGUUGAAAAGCCUGCCAACAGAAAGACUAUCGGUGUAAAAUGGGUCUAUCGAGUGAAGCACAAUGCGGAUGGAAGUUUAAAUAAGCUAAAGGCCAGACUAGUUGUAAAGGGUUUCAGUCAAAGGUAUGGUCUGGACUACAUGGAAACAUUUGCUCCAGUAGCCAGACUCGAUACAAUCAGAUUACUGAUUGCAGUUGCUGCUCAGAACCAGUGGACAAUCCACCAAAUGGAUGUCAAGUCUGCAUUCCUCAAUGGAUUCCUAGAAGAGGAGAUAUACAUCGAGCAACCCCCAGGUUUUAUAAUGCCUGGUAAGGAACAUUUGGUGUAUAGGCUAAGAAAGGCCUUGUAUGGCCUAAAACAGGCCCCUCGAGCCUGGUAUGCUCGAAUUGACUCAUACUUGGUCAGUUUGGGAUUUGAAAGGAGUGCUAGUGAGCCAACACUCUAUGUUAAGAGGAAUGGAGCUGAAACACAGCUUAUUGUGUCACUAUAUGUUGAUGAUCUUCUAGUGACUGGAGGAGACAAGCUUGUGAUGGCUGAUUUCAAAGCAAAAAUGAAAGAAAUGUUCGAGAUGUCAGAUUUGGGGUUGAUGACUUAUUUCCUUGGAAUAGAGAUACAACAAGCUGAUCAAGGAAUCUUUUUGGGACAAAAGGCGUUUGCUUUGAAAGUUUUAUCCAAGUUUUCAAUGCAAAAUUGCAAGCCAACAUGCACACCUAUGGCAGUUGGCAUAAAACUAUCGAGCCAAGAAGAACACGAGCCUGUCAAUGAAUCAUUUUAUAGGAGCCUUGUUGGUUGUUUGCUGUAUUUAACAGCAACAAGACUGGACAUUCUGUUUGCUGUGAGCAUGCUAUCAAGGUUCAUGCACUGCUGUAACCAGCAACAUUACAAGGCUGGGAAAAGGGUGCUAAGAUACAUCAAAGGUACCUUAAACCAUGGAAUACAGUUUAGAAAGACUGAAGAGUUGAAACUGAUUGGCUACACUGAUAGCGAUUGGGCUGGUUCAAAGGAUGACAUGAAGAGCACUUCUGGCUAUGCUUUUACUCUUGGCUCAGCUAUGAUUUGUUGGAGCUCAAGAAAACAAACAAUGGUGGCUCAAUCGACAGCAGAAGCAGAGUAUGUAGCAGCUGCUAAUGCUGUUAAUCAAGCUAUGUGGCUGAGAAAAAUUUUGGGUGAUUUGAAUCUACAGCAGAAUAAUGCAACUGUGAUACAUUGUGACAACAAGUCAGCAGUUGCUAUUGCUAAAAACCCUGUCUUCCAUGGCAGGACAAAACAUUUCAACAUCAAACUCCAUGUGAUAAGAGAAAUGGAACAAGCUCGAGAGAUCAAGCUAAUUCAUUGCAGCUCAGAAGAUCAAAUCGCUGAUAUCUUCACAAAAUCACUUGGUGCAUCGAGAUUUGUAAACCUAAGGAAGCAACUAGGAGUCUGCUGCAUAGAAGCUGAGGAGGAGUGUUGAAGUCAACCCCCAUGCAGCAGCCAAGGUGACCAUGCAAGGUGGCCAUGCAGGGAUCGUGCUUUAACAGCAAACCGAAACUGCAUUGUUUCAUUUGGUUACUCAAAUGAACAUUUUGUGUUCUAGUUCAUGUUAAACUAAGUAGGUAAAUGUUUUGAUAUUGAUUGACUGAAAAGUCAGCAAUGCAAGUUGUACAAGCUAAUCUUGUAAGUUUCAAUGCAAAUUAGUGGAGUUAGGUAGUUGAUUAGGUGAUUACUUGUUUGUUUUACUUGUUGACUGAUAUAUGUAAUGGCUUAAUGCCUUAUUGAUGUGUUAAUGAAAGAAAUCAGCUCAUUUUUCAUUCAAUCUUCUUCUCUCUUUUCUGUUUUUCACUAGCUAGUUGCAUUAUUCUGUUUCUGCUUUCGAGUUUGCUUCUUCACCAAGGCUCGAGGCUUGCUAUUCAAGCAAGACACAAAACAGCUUGUUGCUGCCUCUUGCACCAACAACAGCAGGGUACCUAUAAGGUUUAAUUUUCACCACCUGACCCUCAUCUUUUAGAGGAAUCUUAUUGUCCUGUAAGCGAGGAGGGGGUAAGCCACUUGGUUCCUAAGAAACAUCAGCAAAUUCAUCCAGACGUCUUUGCAAAUCUGGUAGAGGGACACUAGAAGCUGCUGACAAGAUGGUGUGAUCCUGAGUUGCCAUAACAAGAGCACAGGACCCCAACUCCCAACCCACAACAGAAAAGCAUUUGGAAGAUUAUUUGGCAGUCAAAAGUUGAAUGGCACCAGGCAUGAUCCCUUAGAGGACUCAGGAACUUCCAUAAUAGAGGAACAGCAUAGUCAAUGUAGUAAAAUUCCAAACAAUUGACCCUAGAGAUAAUAACCAUUGGAUGCCCAAAACUAGAUCACACCCUUUCAAUGGAAGCACCAUGAAAUCAGUAGCAAACGGAAGGGAUCGAUGCUGAUGCUGUUAGCUUUAAUAUCUUGAUUUCAGGUCUUAGGAAACAAGUUAGAAUUGAAGAAGGUGUGAAGCUGUUGGAAAUUAUGAAAAAGAAAGGGUGUUAUCCCAAUGCAGGGUCUUAUCAAGAGGUUUUCUAUGGUUUACUUGAUGCUGCAAGGUUUAUGGAAGCAAAGGAGAUGAUGGGGAGAAUGGUUUAAUUGAUAUCCUUCACAAAAUGGCAUAUCUGCUCAUUUCCGAUGCCAGUUUCCAUUAUGGCUGAGAACUAGUAGUAACAAAGUCUGUUACAGGUUUGUUACUCGAGCAGUUGUAAGAAACCCUCAAUAUGCACCGUUUUCAUUAAACAUUAAAAUGUAUCAUUUCAUUAAACCCUCAGCCCUAAACGCAACGAUCAACUAACUUUAACUAACAUUUUUAUUUCAUAACAUGAAAUUACUCAUAAUCAACUCAUGAAUCGAUCACCAUCGACUCGUGGUCUUUGAGGAUGACGAGGUCUCACAAUCUCUCUCUUAAUAUAAAAAGUAGCCAAAAACAAGAAAACUAUUUUUAAAAAAAAGUAUGCCUUUGUUUAUGUUCUCAGCUUGCUUGUGUAGCAAGAAAAGUGAAUAUAAACAAUAUAUGUGAUUCCUCCAAGUGAAUAUAAACAAUAUAUGUGAUUCCUCCAUUGUUAGUUGUAGAUAAUAGUGGAUCUUUAUUCACUUUUAACACUAGAUGUUACUCAAUAUUUAAAGGUUCAAGAUUUCUAACUUUUUUCUUUUAGUUAGACCCCUUUUUCUUGACUUAAAUAACACACCAUUAACCCACUUUCUUCAUGUGUAUCCGUGUGUGUGCCUGUAUAUAUAUAUAACUUGGACUGGAAGAACUUUUCAUCCUUUAGGUUCUCAAGAGGUUGAUGACUUCCCGUUCGGCGCAACAUGGCUGACUUGGGCCUAUCUAUCUCAACAUUGAAAGACAAGGAUCAUUUCGGAUGUUACCUAGUGGUGCUAGAUAUAUUAAUUUAUUUAGCUUCUAAAAUUGUUAUUUUAGAAAUUUUUUAAUUUUUUAAAAUUUUCUUUAUAUAUUUUUUAGAAUUUUUUUUUGAGAUUUUUUUAAAAAAAAUAUAAAUUUUGGAAUUUUUAUAAAUAUUUUAAAUUUUAAAAAUUAUUUUGUUUUUUAAUUAUUUUUAAUUAUUUUGUAUUUUUUUUUGAGGGAGACCAAUAUGCUCAUUUUCAAACUUGACAGGGACCAAAAUGGUAUUUACACCAAUCUAUUAUUCGAAUUAUUUGAGUUAUUCAAAUUGUAAAAUUCUACUCGAUUCGAACUCGAAACUCAAAUUACUUAUUCUAGUUGACUGGAAUAAUUCAAAUAACUCGAUUCGAUUAACUCGAAAUUCAAUUUUUUUUCGAUUUUUUCAAAUCAAAUCGAAUUUUACUUACCACUACCCAAAAUAAUCAUUCUAACAAAUGUGGCUGUAAUUUUGUAUAGUAUUUUGCAACAUUCAUAUCUUUGCUACUGAGAUUUUAUCACGCCUUGAACUACAAAUAGUUGGCUAUUAUUCUCUCGUAUCCUAAUCCGAAUGACAUAAGAUAUUUUAUACAUUUUAUCAUUGAGUUUUAUAAUGGAAAGAAUUUUAUAAAUUUUUAACGUUGGGUUUUACAAUAUUUCUCUCAUGUCGACUUUAUAUCUAAAGAUUUGGACAUCUCCACGUGCACACAUACUAUGUUCAAUUUUUUCGUUGAAUCCGAAUUACAUUUCAAGGGAAAGAUAAGUCCAAAUAAAAGUUAUAAACUAAAAUUUCAAGAGAAUUGAAAUAAGAUAAUUUAAUUUUAUACUUUAAAUUUAUUGAGUAAAUAUCAUUUGAAUUAAUUAAUUGGAUUUGAAAUUUUCAAUCCAUUAAUCUAAGCAUGGAUUUGGAAUCUUCGAUUCCCUUGAAUUCUUUUUUUUUAUUUUUAAGUUUAUUAUCAUCAAGAUAUUGUUGGUAGAUAUAAAAAGCAAAUGUUCCAAAGAACGAGAACAUGGCGAACCAACUCAGUUAAAUCUCGAAUUUGGAAUCUUUGAUUUCCUUAGAUUCCUUUUAUAAAGCAUAGCUUGCUAAACCAUCAAAUGUUGAUAAAAUUUUUCUUUCUUUCUUUUUGUUCGAUAAAUUUGGAACUUCUAGAUUAUAUUUAUCUUGUGGUUUGAUUUCUUCUAUUUAAUUUUACAAAUAAAGAUAUCGUGGAUUACAUGUAUUGACAUGUUAUUAGUUGGUAAGAUUUAAUUUUUCCUAUUUUUUGCUUUGGAAGUGUAGGAAUGAAGUGCAACCAUUGUACUUGAUAUCGUAAUAAAGAUUAUUGAGUUAAGGAUUAGCAUACUGAAUGAUGGAAAAUAUUACGUUGAAUACCAAUCGACUUAUACAAAAUGAGGAAAUAUGUUGAUACAGGGAAUGUGUCCAACAUACAUAUAUUCAGUUUUUUCUAAAAUAUGUAUAUAUUAAGGACAUCAUAUUCUCUUAUCUUGUAUCCAUAUCCAAAUAAAUAUCAAACAUUAAAUAAUAUUUAAGGAAAAUGAAGAGUAGAAAUGACCAUAUACAACAAUGUGAUGAAUUUUACAAGAGAAAAUCAUGAUCUUGCCUUGGCUUCUAAAUUACAUUAAGUACAUGAUAAUAAAAAGAGAAAGACUUGAGCAAACUUAAGUAGAGAAAAAAAGAAGAAAGCACCGCAAACCAAACAAAUAAAAACAAGGCUAUGUCGGAACAAAGGUCAGUGACGUCUCCUUAUCUGCAAUUUUAUGUUUUAAAAGACAAAAAUUAAUUUGUAAUUAAAUUAGAUUGAAGGAAAUUGAAAUGGAGGAGGGGUUUCGUACCUUGUUAAUCCAGACACCUCCCUUUCUUCCAAUACCAUAUCUUGCAACCGUUUUAUUGUAACUUGAAGAAAACAACAAACAGUCAACCUGUCUGAUUUCAACAACCAUAGAUAUAUACAAGAGAGAAGAUAAUUCCAAAUCUCACCAUAUAACACACUUUCACAUGCCACUUAUAAUAGGAGUUUUAAAUAUUGAUGUGAUCCCGUAAAUAGCAGUAGCAGGUGAAAAAAUGGCGUUUUUACCUGAAAAGCAAAACUAAAAAUAUCAAUGUCUGACUUCCUUUCACUUUUAAUAAAUGUAAUUAUUCAUUGGUGUGUUGACAAAUUGAGUGAGAAUUUGAGACAUUGUCAAAAACGAAAGAUAUAUAAGAAGCAAACAAAGUAGGAAACAUUUCCUAAACUAGAGGUUAUGAAAUUACCUCUCAAUUAUCAUUCAAUCUAUUUGUACCUCACAGUCUUUGAAUAUGAUAGAAGGAACAUGUUUGACUUUGUAGAAAUCUUCUCCUCCUUCCUCCAAUAUAUCUUUGAAUGCCUUUGGCAUUGAUUCAAUCUUCAGUUCUUUGAGGGUUGUAAUGAACCUCAAUCCCUCUGGAAGCAUCUUCAAGUUGAGGCAAUUCCAAAUCUCCAACCGCUGAAGAGAAGGCAUGGCUCCUUCAUCCACCUUCCACUCCUCCAAAUUGUUGAACCACGCAAGACUUAGAGACUCAAGUCGAGGAAAACCCUGUGCAGAGCAAACCAUUUCAUUUACUCUGAAAGUUUCUUCGAAUUCAAGAAUCCUUAAGUUAGGCAGCUUCUCUAGUGUUGGCAUUGGAUCUUCAUCAAGCGGGCAACAUUCCAACCGUAUGUAAGCGAGAUGUGAAGAGAAGUAGCGAUACUCUGGUAACUUACUUAUCUCUGCAUUUAUACUCAACUUGCAAAUACUUGUACAACUUGAAAGGAGGUGGGCCAAAUGUCUUGGAUCUAUUGAAUCGGUUAAAAUAAAUAAGGAAUGAAAAUAUUUACUUCCGAUUAUGGGUGGAUUCUCGCCCAACUCCUCCUCAUUGAAAUUUUCAAUAUUGAAGGCCCCUUUUAUCACCAACUCUCUAAGAUUUGUCAUGUUGAUAAGAUCCUUCAGAUAACAAUUCUCGGUGUUGAAGUUCACAAGUGUUAGGAGUUUUCUCAAAGUACCCAACUUCAACUUAGUUCUUCUUUUACAUCUCGAAGGGAGAUAUAAAUGUCUUAGUUGCUCCAUCCUCCAUAUCACAUUAGGUACAUGAAUUUUGUAAUUAUAAACUCUUAAAUCCAAGGUUUGCAAGCACCUUAAGUUGCCUAGAGAUGAUGGCAACUUUGACCGUAGGAUGUCAUGAUUCCUUAGACUCAAGAAUCUUAAAUGGAUGAGAUUCCCUAUAUCACUG
RNAcentral lists this long non-coding RNA (24833 nucleotides) under Gossypium barbadense (sea-island cotton). Its description in RNAcentral is "long non-coding RNA (GBAR_LNC010956)". Lineage: Eukaryota; Viridiplantae; Streptophyta; Magnoliopsida; Malvales; Malvaceae. The record is from RNAcentral.